This 388-nucleotide ribosomal RNA is filed under the name uncultured bacterium. Its description in RNAcentral is "bacterial SSU rRNA". It matches the Rfam family "Bacterial small subunit ribosomal RNA", at positions 30 to 424 of the family's 1533-position model. The record is from RNAcentral.
AUUGAACGCUGGCGGAAUGCUUUACACAUGCAAGUCGAACGGUAGAGGGGGCAACCCCUUGAGAGUGGCGAACGGGUGAGUAAUAUAUCGGAACGUGCCCAGUCGUGGGGAUAACGUAGCGAAAGUUACGCUAAUACCGCAUACGAUCUACGGAUGAAAGCGGGGGACUCGCAAGAGCCUCGCGCGAUUGGAGCGGCCGGUAUCAGAUUAGGUAGUUGGUGAGGUAAAGGCUCACCAAGCCGACGAUCUGUAGCUGGUCUGAGAGGACGACCAGCCACACUGGGACUGAGACACGGCCCAGACUCCUACGGGAGGCAGCAGUGGGGAAUUUUGGACAAUGGGCGCAAGCCUGAUCCAGCAAUGCCGCGUGCAGGAUGAAGGCCUGGUU